Molecule: ribosomal RNA, 425 nt
Filed under: uncultured bacterium
Lineage: Bacteria
Description: partial 16S ribosomal RNA
Rfam family: Bacterial small subunit ribosomal RNA
Source: RNAcentral
GUGGGGAAUCUUGCGCAAUGGGCGAAAGCCUGACGCAGCCAUGCCGCGUGAAUGAUGAAGGUCUUAGGAUUGUAAAAUUCUUUAACCGGGGACGAUAAUGACGGUACCCGGAGAAGAAGCUCCGGCUAACUUCGUGCCAGCAGCCGCGGUAAUACGAAGGGGGCUAGCGUUGCUCGGAAUUACUGGGCGUAAAGGGCGCGUAGGCGGACAGCUUAGUCAGAGGUGAAAGCCCAGGGCUCAACCUUGGAAUUGCCUUUGAUACUGGCUGUCUUGAGUUUGGGAGAGGUGAGUGGAACUCCGAGUGUAGAGGUGAAAUUCGUAGAUAUUCGGAAGAACACCAGUGGCGAAGGCGACUCACUGGCCCAAUACUGACGCUGAGGCGCGAAAGCGUGGGGAGCAAACAGGAUUAGAAACCCUGGUAGUCC